ACGGCCGUACCAUGCUGAAUAUACCGGUUCUCGUUAGAUCACCGAAGUCAAGCAUCAUUGGGCGCGGUCAGUACUUGGGUGGGUGACCACCUGGGAACACCGCGUGCCG
Molecule: non-coding RNA, 109 nt
Organism: Caerostris darwini
Lineage: Eukaryota; Metazoa; Arthropoda; Arachnida; Araneae; Araneidae
Source: the annotation of a GenBank genome assembly